This is a long non-coding RNA of Pipra filicauda (Wire-tailed manakin), 2514 nucleotides long. RefSeq lists it as uncharacterized. The record is from RefSeq and is a predicted model, not a curated record. The transcript has 2 exons. NCBI's taxonomy places the organism in Eukaryota, Metazoa, Chordata, Aves, Passeriformes, Pipridae.
CCGCCCCCCGCCCUCACACCCCGUCACAACCUCCUCACAGCGCCCUCAUAGUCCCCCCCUCACCGCCGCUCCGCCCCAAUGCCCCCGGGCUGCCACAACCACCGGGUCUCCGUGCCCCUGCUGCCGAGCUGUUCCGACUCUGGGCUCUCCAUGUCCCCGGCUCUCCGUCUCUCGGACUCUCCGUGCCCCCUGUGCCUUACAGACCCCCCGCCCCCCGGCUCUCCGUGCCCCAAACUCCCUGGGCUCUCUGGCCCCCUUGUCACCGCCCAGUGGCCCCGCGGCCAGAAGGGUGCUGGUGCCCGUGCCCGCCUCGCCUCAGGGACCACUCAGCUGCCCCCAGGAGCUCCAGAGCUACAUUUGUCAAAAAAGCUAAAUUUUUUGAAAUAGAAGUUCGGGUAUAAACCGGUAUCGGUACUGUGGUAGAAAUGGUUAUACUGGGUGGGCCAUGAGGUCCUGCUGCUAUCCCGCAGCUUUAACCUUAUUUAACCGUGAGGUUCCCUCAGGGGAAGGCACGAGGAGCUGCCCACAGGUGCUGCGAGACUUGAAGUCUGAGGUAAAGCAUUUCUGGGUUUAUUCCCACCUUUCUCUGCUUGCUGAGGAUGCACUGAAUCCUCAGGGAAACCCAGGCUCAGCCCAGGGUCGGCCCUCGGGGCAGGAUCUGGUGUGUGCGAAAACACCAGGGAGUCCAACUGUGCCACGGGGAAACUCAACCUCGGCUCUGUGUAAUCAAGUCCUUAACAGAGACGUGGCAACUCGCACAUAAAAGGCUUCGGCGGCCGUUCCGUUCUAUUUGUGAAACUUCUCCAGAGCAGUUUUACAAGGCUGGGUAAGAAUGGUCCAUGUGUGAAAUACAGCCUUGAAUUCCGAUACCAGACACAGCUGUGGUGCUGGCACUCCACCAUCCCCACUGAUCUUCUAAUUUCUAGUGAUAAGAAAAAUGAACUCGAUAAAUAUUCAGAAGAAAACCAUAUAUCAAAGUCAGCCGUGCUGUAAAUGUGCCUUACAUUAUCAACACGGGGAUUCCAAUGUGAUGCCUCAAUUGUCUGGUAUUAACCUUAUUAUGUUUAAAGAAAAUAUAUCUAUAUACAUUUACCCCACAAGCAUUCAGAUAAACAAGUCUUUAUUCACUAUUCCCCUCUUUUUGCUUUUUCUGCUGCACCAUUUAUCUUUCAUGUUUGUUCUGGAACAAUAUUUUCUUCCCUUAUCUUUUUUCUUCCUUCCUUUCUCAGACAUUGAUGUUUUACCUGCAGGCUUUUCAGUAUUUUGUUUCAACCUUAAUUUUGUUACAUGUUAGAAAUUCAUUGCUGUCACAACUUUACCUACAUUGUAUUUUUCUUCCCCCUAAACAAAAAGUGAUAUUUCUAAAAUAUUGUUACACAUUUUAUCCUGCUUGUCAUGAUUGUCUCUGCUUAGUAUUCCAGUCUUUUUGUGUUCUAUUCCUUAUUCAAUUUCUCUACAGUCACCUGUUGCUGAAUAUGUCUUUCAUUACUGGAAGCAGCAAUGUUUGAGGCACUGGCUGUUUCUGAGGACCUUACAUGUAAUUUCUUUGCUCAUAAUACCUGGGAAUUUAUGGUGACGCUUCUGAUUCCAUCCAGGCUGUUGGAUUCAGGGGCCAGAGAGCAGCUGUACCCCAAAUUAUGGGCAUCUUUAGUCAUCAGAGGUUGAGCUUGAGCUCAGUGAUACCCUGUUACAAGUGACAAAAGGUAUCAAUAUUACAUUAUGUGUGAGAAAGGCUCCUGAAUGCUAUACAGCUGAAAUUUUGUCCUUGGAAGUUGUUUGCUACCUAAUUUAUUCCUGUUUCCUCACAACUGUUUCCAAGUCUCUGCUGCUGCUGGUGGCUCAUCCUUCUAAAUUUUAAAACUGGGAGGAAGAGCCAGAGGGCAGCCUUCCAAGCAGGAGUAGGAGAAAUAAUUAAGCAAUUAAUGUCUGGCAUUGGAGUUGGAUCUGCCUGGGAACAGAGGAACCACGGCUGCGACUCCUGCCCGGAGCGGGACAGGACAGUGGCAGGACCUGAGCCCUCUGCAAGGGCAGGACUGGCUGACAAAUAGUAGAGCUUUGUAGCUUGAGCCUGUUCCCCUUAGUUGUCCUUUCAUGUCCCUUCCGACCCAAACCAUUCUGUAAUUCCAUAAUUCAUCCUAUAUUUGGGGCUUCAUAGAAUGGAUUGGUAGAAAUAGCAAGUAACUUCUAUUUAUUUUGCACAGUUACAAACAAGAAAACAAAGGCUCCUUUUAAGAAAGAUGGAGGUCAUUAUGGUUUCUUCAGAAGAAAAAUGAGCUGUAGCACGAGACCGUUGUGUCCUUGACCUUCCUGGUUCUCCUCCUCACAAUCUGUCCGGCCCCCAAAACCAGGUUUUCCAUGAGAGAAGUGAGGAAGCAAAAAUGCUCCAGAACUGAGAGAAACAAAAGCACUUCCUGCGUGGAUGGGAAGGUCCCACAGCUGUGUCACUGUGCUCCAACCCCAGAUCCAGUUCAGUGGCCCCCUCACACAAAUAAACUUCACUGCACGCUGAGUUAA